GACGAACGCUGGCGGCGUGCUUAACACAUGCAGGUCGAACGGGAAGGCCCUGCUUUUGUGGGGUGCUCGAGUGGCGAACGGGUGAGUAACACGUGAGUAACCUGCCCUUGACUUUGGGAUAACUUCAGGAAACUGGGGCUAAUACCGGAUAGGAGCUCCUGCUGCAUGGUGGGGGUUGGAAAGUUUCGGCGGUUGGGGAUGGACUCGCGGCUUAUCAGCUUGUUGGUGGGGUAGUGGCUUACCAAGGCUUUGACGGGUAGCCGGCCUGAGAGGGUGACCGGCCACAUUGGGACUGAGAUACGGCCCAGACUCCUACGGGAGGCAGCAGUGGGGAAUAUUGCACAAUGGGCGGAAGCCUGAUGCAGCAACGCCGCGUGCGGGAUGACGGCCUUCGGGUUGUAAACCGCUUUCGCCUGUGACGAAGCGUGAGUGACGGUAAUGGGUAAAGAAGCACCGGCUAACUACGUG
Molecule: ribosomal RNA, 468 nt
Filed under: uncultured bacterium
Lineage: Bacteria
Description: partial 16S ribosomal RNA
Rfam family: Bacterial small subunit ribosomal RNA
Source: RNAcentral